This 4607-nucleotide long non-coding RNA is filed under the name Sus scrofa (pig). Its description in RNAcentral is "lncRNA (ENSSSCG00035007318.1)". The record is from RNAcentral. Lineage: Eukaryota; Metazoa; Chordata; Mammalia; Artiodactyla; Suidae.
ACUCGCAGGGCUCUCACUGCUCGCGGUGCGGCAGCCGCGCGCGGACUCCGCUGCGCCUCCGAGGGGGCCAGGCACGCGGUCAAGAUCUGUGGCCACUGGUUCCCAUGGUUUCGAGGCACCAUGAGGCUCGCUGGCUCCUGGAAACUUUGGCUUUGGGCAGCACUUCUCCUGCUUCCUGCUUCCACUUCCGUGACGGUUAGGGACAAGCCAGAUUAAAUCUCUUAGUGGAAAUAGAUGUUUUCCCCAUUGACCUUGACAACACACAUCGAGAAUGUCUAAAAUUACCUCAUGUUUUCAUAUGCAUAUUAGUCUAGAUAGCCUUUUAUUUCUCUCAUUGAUAGUUAAAAAUAUAAAUGUGAAUGUGCAUCUGUGUGUAUGUUUCUCCCUUUCCUCUUUAAAUUCUAAGUUAUUCACAUUAUAAGUAUGGAAACCCAUCACCAGUUAGGAAAGCAGGGAUGUACAUAAGGUUAAUUAGGGAAAGUGAAAAACUGAAUAGGAAAUAGGAAAGGAAAUGUAGUUUAAUUAUUGCCAGUUUUGUAGUGUCAGAUGAGGUGAACCAAAGACAACCAGUCGUGAGAGCACUUUUUAAACUAGAUAGAUAAUACUCACUUGCAACUGUUAAAUACCAACCUCAUAAAUAUUUCUGAAGGACUUGAAGGCAAUUUACUUCCACUUUAGAUUUUUUAAAAUGGUUAUGUGGCUAAUUUGAAAGACUUUUCUUGAACAUUGAAUAGGUGUUAAGUUCCUGAUGGAGAUCUACUUCGGUUACAAAGUUGCAGUAGAUACAGUGAAAAGCCCUUUGCUAAGCAAAGAGAAACUCCUACGCUCUUUCUGUGCAAAGGAUGACUUGUGAUGUAUUCUGGCCAUGGUCCCAGGUGAAGAUGUGUUCUUAGACUGUGUGUCUUGUGCUUGGUCUUUUAAAUAUCUCUUUCAUAUUUUUUGCUAAACAGGUAUAAACACAUCCUAGUAGAGACUUUUGAGUUUAAAGCAUUCAGAAAAUAAAAACAAUCUCUUAUAAAGAUACAACACUUCUGAGCCUCUCAGUGUCUUGUCGGUCUUUACAGUUUUUUACUAAUUUCACAGGGUACAUUUCAUAAAUAAUCUACAUGAAAGUUUGAAUAUUCUAACACCAUACAAAUGAUGCCCUGUGGCUGUCAUACUUCUUUGGAGGGCAAAAAAAAAACUUUCUUUCUUUCUUUUUUUUUUAUUUUAUUUAUUUUUUCUUUUUUUUCAGAAAAAUCAGUAGUGGCUUAUGGCAAAAAGAAGUACAUAGGGCAGGGAGUUUACUCUGAUAAUGUUGCUACUCUUCUGAAUAUUUUUACAUCUCUUCCUUUUAAGAGAUGAGUAGGUAAUGCAAUUUGCUACUUAAUCAGAGGGGAUAGGACUUUUUUUUGGUUUGAAAGGAAAAUGAAUCAGUUUCUAGGUAUAAUGCUAGUGCAUAAUAAAUGCUCCUGAUGGUAAUAAUGAUUUGAAGGAUCUGCAUAAAUGGUUUUCCAAUUUUAGUGUGAGCAAGAAUCAUCUGGAGUAUUGAUCUCUGAGCUCCACUGUUAUGCAAGAGAUCUUGGAGUGGGAUUCAGUAAUUUACAUCUUUAACCAGCAACCCAGGUGAAUCCAAUGCUCUAUGUCUGAGGAAAAUGGAGAAACUCUUCCUUUGGGAUAAUUCACUAUUUCCUUUUCAUUUAAAAUUUUUAUUUCUUGGCUGGUUAUCUUCCACCUUAUGCUACCAGGUACUUUUUAAUUAGUUAAUUAAUUUUGACUUUAAUGACUUUUGGGAGGGGGUGUAAGAACACAACAUCAGCUCUACCCUUUUAACAAUUUUCUAAGUGUAUAAUGUAGUAUUGUUCACUAUAGAUCUCUAGAACGGAAUCAUCUUGUAUAACUGAAACUUCCCCUUCUUGGGAUUCCCCUGAAUGUUCUUAUCUUGUAGCUUUGGUAUCUCACUUCUUGAAUCAGGUUACCUGGUGUGUGGGACAACCGAAAUACAUAUAUUCUGGCCAAUGUAUUCUGCCAAAUUAAUCUUUCUGAAAGAUUUUCCCAAGAAUGUGAAUUCCAAAUUAAUCUGAAUGCUAACAAGAGUCACAUAAUGUGAAGCAUGAAGGGAAAUGAGGGAAGAAAAAAACGAAGAGUUGAUUUUUUUUAUCAGGCCAUUUGGUAGGAAGUGCUGGUGAAACACAGUAAAAGGUGCCAGGGAAAUGGCUUGACUUCAGGUAUCAUUUGCAUUAAUUGAAAAUUUCUGUGCAGCACUGUCAUAAGGACUGUUGGAGAGUAUGACAUGCCGGGCAUGGCCUGAUAGGGCUCUUCAUGUUUCUUGUGUGUCUGAUUCACAGCGCAAUUUCCCUUUUUAGUUUCCUCAUGUGCAGACCUGCGCGUGUGGUCACUAACCGUUAACCGGAGGGAAGUGAGUACAGCUAAAAAUAAAAUAUAACAAAUCAGAGGGAGAGGCUAGGGUUUCAACUCUGGAGUCUGUGAAGUUGUCAACAGUCUGCUGUUAAACUUAAAUAUACGAAGGAUAAGUUGAGUCUUUUAAUCGCUUUACUUAACUCCAUGGCAUGCUUAACGAUUACUUGCAAUCCUGGCCCAGUUGGGACAGAAUUCAAGAGUAAUGUGGAGGGAUUCAAUAACACCUUGACUGUUAAACUCUUGAAGCUAUUUAGAAUUUGUAGUUACAUAUUCUUUCAUCAAUUUGACUGUUAUGUUGAUAUUAUGAUAUAGGGCAUAUUUGCAUAUUUUUACACUGCAGAUAAACAAUCUGAAUGUGGCCAGUUCAGCUCAGUUGUCAAAGCAGGAGGGGAAGAGAGUUAUAUUAAUACAAAUAUAAAUCAUAAAGAUUGUCUCAAGACUUGCUUUCAUCAGUUUCUUAAAACCUUCUUCUAGGACAGAAGCUUAUGUAUCAUAAUGGUUCCUCUUCUCCACUUUGCUUAAUUUAAGGCAAAAGUACUGAGUUAUCACCAAAAGUAAUAAAGACAGAAAACAAGGUAAUGACUUGUAGCAAAAAAAGCCAGACUCAAUAAAAAGAGGUGACAGAAUGCCAUCCCUUCAGCUUAUGGUAAAUCUUUAGGUCAAGUGUAUGAUGAAAUUGAUUAUAAACUUAGGCCCCAAAUUAUACAUCCUUUUAAACUAGUUUUCUAUUGAUUGCAAGGAAAAACUAUUUUUCUGAAAUUUGGCUUUUACCUAUUGACCCACACUGCACUCUUAAACUCAGAAUAGAAGGUACACUAUCAUGUAGAGAAUUUUAUUUUGUGUCGUGAAAAAUUCUUCAUGUUCACUAUGGUACCAUAUAAGAGUCCUACUACUGACAGAUGUACUUUAUAACUCCAACAUUUUUAGGUGCAGGAAAGCAUCACAAUUUUUUUUUUUUUUUUUUUUUUUUUUUUUUUUUUUUUNAGCCACAGCAACGUGGGAUCUGAGCCGCUUCUGCAACCUACACCACAGCUCAGGGCAAUGCCGGAUCCUUAACCCACUGAGCAAGGCCAUGUUUCCUAGUCGGAUUCAUUAACCACUGUGCCACGACAGAACUCCUAGCAUCACAAUUAUUAAAUAAAAAGUAUAGCUCCUACGUAGGUAUUCUCCAAAGGAGGAAUAGCUUUAUAUAUAUAUAUAUAAAUAAGCAAUGAUGUUUCUGUGACCUCUCGUUAGUUCUUUGUUAAAAGAUCUGUGUUCCUAUUUUUUUUUCUCGUUGGUCACUUUUCCAUAUUUUGGCGGCUAUAUGUUCUUUACCUCUUUUGUUAAGCAUUGUUUUUCUCCCAACCUAGGAUACCCUAUAAUCCUUUAUCAGAGGUAUUAGCAAAGUAUGAAGUGUACAGGGGUCCUAAGGGCAACUAGUAGCAAUUAAAUGAAAGGCCUCUGUGAACAGGAAGUCUUUCAGCCUUUACAAAAAUGCAAAACACCUGAAGGCUUUUAUUUUGAUCCAUUUAUGAAAAGAAAACAAAGUAGUUCUAUGUCUGUGGUAAAUUACUUCUCUUUGUCUUCCCCAACACCGAUCUUGAGACAAAUGUUCUGUCAUGAGUUUUGUCCCUAAAGGUAAAAAAACAAUUUUCCUUAAUGUAUGUUAGCAAACAAGAGUGAUACCUGUCAGAGUGGCGAUCAUCAAACAUACCACAUGUAACAAAUGUUGGCGAGGAUGUGGAGAAAAGUGAAUCCUCCUACACUGUUGAUGGCAAUGUAAAUUGGUGCAGCCACUGUGGAAAGAAGUAUGGAGGCUCCUCAAAAAACUAAAAACUACCACAUGACCUAGAAAUUCCGCUCUGGGUAUAUAUUCAAAAACCCCCAAAACACUAAUUCAAAAAGAUGCAUGCGCCCCAAAUGUUCAUAGCAGCACUAUUUACAGCAGCUAAGAUAUGGAAGCAACCUAAGUGUCCAUCAACAGAUGAAUGGAUAAAGAAGAUAUGGUGCAUAUACAUACAUGUGUAUGUAUAUAUAUAUACACACGUAUGUAUAUGUGUGUAUAUAUAUAUAUGUACAAAGAAUUAUACUCAUCCAUAAAAAAAAAUGAAAAUUUACCAUUUGCAACAACAGGGACAGAUUUAGAGGGUAUUGUGCUAAGUGAAGUAAGUCAGAGAAAGAAAUAUACUGUAUAUUAGCACUUAUGUGUGGAAUAAAAAAAUAAA